UACGUAGGUGGCAAGCGUUACUCGGAAUCACUAGGCGUAAAGCGCAGGUAGGCGGUUCGGUAAGUCUCUUGUGAAAGCUCCCGGCUCAACUGGGAGAGGUCAAGGGAAACUGCCGGGCUAGAGUGUGGCAGAGGAAGCUGGAAUUCCCGGUGUAGCGGUGAAAUGCGUAGAUAUCGGGAGGAAUACCUAUGGCGAAGGCGGCCUGCUGGGCAGUUACUGACACUGAGGCGCGACAGCGUGGGGAGCAAACAGG
Molecule: ribosomal RNA, 253 nt
Filed under: uncultured bacterium
Lineage: Bacteria
Description: partial 16S ribosomal RNA
Rfam family: Bacterial small subunit ribosomal RNA
Source: RNAcentral